Molecule: non-coding RNA, 29 nt
Filed under: Rattus norvegicus (Norway rat)
Lineage: Eukaryota; Metazoa; Chordata; Mammalia; Rodentia; Muridae
Source: RNAcentral
UGAGAUUACAUAUGGGCUAUGAAUUGAGU